GGAUUAGAUACCCUGGUAGUCCACGCCUUAAACGAUGAGAGCUAGUUGUCAGUAAGCAUGCUUAUUGGUGACGCAGCUAACGCAUUAAGCUCUCCGCCUGGGGAGUACGGCCGCAAGGUUAAAACUCAAAGAAAUUGACGGGGGCCCGCACAAGCGGUGGAGCAUGUGGUUUAAUUCGAAGCAACGCGCAGAACCUUACCCACCUUUGACAUCCCGUGCUAUCUAGAGAGAUCUAGAGUCCCUUCGGGGCGCGGAGACAGGUGCUGCAUGGCUGUCGUCAGCUCGUGCCG
Molecule: ribosomal RNA, 290 nt
Filed under: uncultured bacterium
Lineage: Bacteria
Description: partial 16S ribosomal RNA
Rfam family: Bacterial small subunit ribosomal RNA
Source: RNAcentral